RNAcentral lists this ribosomal RNA (440 nucleotides) under Streptococcus mitis. Its description in RNAcentral is "bacterial SSU rRNA". It matches the Rfam family "Bacterial small subunit ribosomal RNA", at positions 28 to 461 of the family's 1533-position model. Lineage: Bacteria; Bacillati; Bacillota; Bacilli; Lactobacillales; Streptococcaceae. The record is from RNAcentral.
GACGAACGCUGGCGGCGUGCCUAAUACAUGCAAGUAGAACGCUGAAGGAGGAGCUUGCUUCUCUGGAUGAGUUGCGAACGGGUGAGUAACGCGUAGGUAACCUACCUGGUAGCGGGGGAUAACUAUUGGAAACGAUAGCUAAUACCGUUAACAGUAGAUGUUGCAUGACAUUUGCUUAAAAGGUGCAAUUGCAUCACUACCAGAUGGACCUGCGUUGUAUUAGCUAGUUGGUGGGGUAACGGCUCACCAAGGCGACGAUACAUAGCCGACCUGAGAGGGUGAUCGGCCACACUGGGACUGAGACACGGCCCAGACUCCUACGGGAGGCAGCAGUAGGGAAUCUUCGGCAAUGGACGAAAGUCUGACCGAGCAACGCCGCGUGAGUGAAGAAGGUUUUCGGAUCGUAAAGCUCUGUUGUAAGAGAAGAACGAGUGUGAGAU